ACGCUUUAAGGAUGACUGCACUUUGAAUUGGAGUGUAUCUGCCUCCGACUCUUGCUUAACUGUGACAUGGGAGAGAGAGAAAAGAAAGUGAGGUCAAAUCCCCUGAAAUCCGAGAAGGCUUUCAAGUUAAAGAUGCAAACUGGCCAUACCUACAAAGAAAUUCAUCUGGAUUUGACGAAACGUUUGCAGUGUUAGUAAUGAUGGUUUUGCAGCAUUGGUGUCAACACUCAUCCAAGUACACUUGAAAUGUGUUCAGUUUAUUGUAUGUAUAUUCUACUUCACGGUUUUUCAAAGAAGAAAUACAGUUAACCGUUUAGCAGGAGAAAACAAGUGAUCAACCCUCAGUCGCUGCGACUAAUCACGAAGCUCCAGGGUCUGCAAAAUUACUAUUUGGGAAAAUCAUGCCAGUUUUUUCAACAAGCAUUCGUGAAGUGGCUACUAGUGCCAGAACAGCGGAGCAGGUGAAGUUAACAGGCUGUUGCUGUUUGCUGGGUCUUAAAGGGUCCAAAAAGU
Long non-coding RNA from Fukomys damarensis (Damara mole-rat), 513 nucleotides. RefSeq lists it as uncharacterized. NCBI's taxonomy places the organism in Eukaryota, Metazoa, Chordata, Mammalia, Rodentia, Bathyergidae. The record is from RefSeq and is a predicted model, not a curated record. The transcript has 3 exons.